This 22-nucleotide microRNA is filed under the name Gallus gallus (chicken). RNAcentral's name for it is "gga-miR-1660". The record is from miRBase by way of RNAcentral. Lineage: Eukaryota; Metazoa; Chordata; Aves; Galliformes; Phasianidae.
UAGGCCUGUGUUUUUGUGCAUA